Molecule: long non-coding RNA, 226 nt
Filed under: Setaria italica (foxtail millet)
Lineage: Eukaryota; Viridiplantae; Streptophyta; Magnoliopsida; Poales; Poaceae
Description: long non-coding RNA (SITA_LNC003161)
Source: RNAcentral
UCAAGCAGGCAAGCAGCAGGGCGCGUCUAGGUGUCGCUGACGCGUCGCGACAAUGAGCACGCGGUCCAAGACUGCCGCCGGCCCACGGCGCGAAUCGGCCAUCCACCUCCGUCUCUAUCGCCGCCGGCUCCGUUGCCGCCGGUCACCACCCUCACCUCCAAUCCCCACCCAUCUCAUCUCGGUCACCCCGCGCCACUCACCUGCACCGUCUUCGAUGGCUCCUGCU